GGCCCCGCACAAGCGGUGGAGCAUGUGGUUUAAUUCGAUGAUACGCGAGGAACCUUACCAGGGCUUAAAUGUAAGUUGCAUAGAUCAGAGAUGGUCUUUUCUUCGGACUACUUACAAGGUGCUGCAUGGUUGUCGUCAGCUCGUGCCGUGAGGUGUCAGGUUAAGUCCUAUAACGAGCGCAACCCCUGUCGUUAGUUACCAGCGAGUCAUGUCGGGAACUCUAACAAGACUGCCGGUGCAAACCGUGAGGAAGGUGGGGAUGACGUCAAGUCCUCAUGGCCCUUAUGGGUAGGGCUUCACACGUCAUACAAUGGUCGGUACAGAGGGUUGCUAAGCCGCGAGGUGGAGCCAA
Molecule: ribosomal RNA, 352 nt
Filed under: uncultured bacterium
Lineage: Bacteria
Description: bacterial SSU rRNA
Rfam family: Bacterial small subunit ribosomal RNA
Source: RNAcentral